CAUCGACCAUGCAUCGAUUUUCCCUGUAAAAGCCGAACUAUUGACUAUACUUCAACAUAAAAUUUAUCUCGAUUUUUUACUGUAAAAAUCGAUAUUAAUCAUAUCGACUUUCACUGUAAAAGCCAUAAUACCAACUAUGUCUCGGUAUUAAAUAUACUUCGACUUUCCAAUGUAAAAGCCAAUCAUAGUCAAAAGACUAUUAUGCUAACUUAAUCCUAACUAAGUGAAACAUUAUGCCAAUACAACCAAGAUCGGAUUGAAAUUAUACCGACUCAGCUAUGGCCAGUCGAAGGAUAUUU
RNAcentral lists this long non-coding RNA (299 nucleotides) under Elaeis guineensis (African oil palm). Its description in RNAcentral is "long non-coding RNA (EGUI_LNC007147)". The record is from RNAcentral. Lineage: Eukaryota; Viridiplantae; Streptophyta; Magnoliopsida; Arecales; Arecaceae.